This 254-nucleotide ribosomal RNA is filed under the name Acidimicrobiales bacterium. RNAcentral describes it as "partial 16S ribosomal RNA". It matches the Rfam family "Bacterial small subunit ribosomal RNA", at positions 524 to 776 of the family's 1533-position model. The record is from RNAcentral. Lineage: Bacteria; Bacillati; Actinomycetota; Acidimicrobiia; Acidimicrobiales. RNAcentral also lists the same sequence under 2 other names.
UACGUAGGGAGCGAGCGUUGUCCGGAUUCAUUGGGCGUAAAGCGCUUUAAGGCGGUUCGCUAAGUCGCGUGUGAAAACUCCAGGCUCAACCUGGAGACGCCACGUGAUACUGGCGUGACUAGAGUUCGGUAGGGGAUCACGGAAUUCCUGGUGUAGCGGUGAAAUGCGCAGAUAUCAGGAGGAACACCGGUGGCGAAGGCGGUGAUCUGGGCCGACACUGACGCUGUAGAGCGAAAGCGUGGGGAGCGAACAGG